AUUUCAAAGCAAACCAAGGAAAAAAGGAUAAAUCUUACUCAUCAUCCUUAAUCUCGUUGGGUUUUAAAAGGUGUGAAUGGGAAAUGAAGUUUUUUCCCGAAAAGACACCAAGAGAAAGGAUGCAAUUUGAAUGGUACACUUUCACAUUGAAUGGAUUGUGACUUUUCGGAUAAGGCACAGUAGCAACUGUUCAUACUACCCUUUGUUGACUAUAAAUAGUGGCUUUUGGAGGCGAUGUUUCGAAAGAAGAAGAUGUAGAAUCCAUGAUGAAAACUGUGGUUGAUCGAUGGGGAACAGUUGAUAUCUUGAUCAAUAAUACAGGUUCGCUACCACCUUUUUUUUUUGUGGGAACGAGUCAAAAAGAUCAUUUAAUCAAUUUUGCACCAAGAUAAUACCAACAAGUUAACGUUUGUGCUGUGGCAUUAAGCAUCCAAAAAAAUCUUUGCAACUUUCUAGUUAGAGAGGAACAUGUUUUUACCCCAAAUAUACAAGGGAAACAAUAUUUUUUAAUGCAGGCAAGCAACAGUCAUCCUAGUUUGCAUCAAGUUUUAUUAGAAUUCCCAAUCAGUAGUUCUCUUAUUCUUCUUUUCAGGUAUCACGCGUGAUACCUUGUUGAUGAGAAUGAAGAAGUCUCAGUGGCAGGAGGUUAUUGAUUUCUCUCAAUUUUCUACAUCGAAUUUUCUGAACUUCUUCUACAUAUUUUCUUACAAACAUAACUGUAGUCUUUGUGUGAUUUGCUACCGACUUUGAGUUCGACGAAGUUAUUGGCGUUUGAGGAACCGCUACACCAAUAAUAGUUAUAUCCAUUUUAUCUUGAGAGAAAAUAAUUCAUAACCUCGGGAACAAUGAGGAGAUUAAAUUACUUGAAGACAAAUUAUGUGGUCUCGGAUAUUUUUUAUGUAAAGUUUUUAAUUUCUGUUUUCCAAUUCUUCUAGCUAUAACAAAAAAAACACAAAAAGGACAAACUUUAACAACUCAAUUCAGAUAUGGCAGUUUCACAAGACACAAACAUGGAAG
Molecule: long non-coding RNA, 1017 nt
Organism: Solanum tuberosum (potato)
Lineage: Eukaryota; Viridiplantae; Streptophyta; Magnoliopsida; Solanales; Solanaceae
Exons: 2
Source: RefSeq, a predicted model, not a curated record